Long non-coding RNA from Pristis pectinata (smalltooth sawfish), 3134 nucleotides. RefSeq lists it as uncharacterized. The transcript has 4 exons. Lineage: Eukaryota; Metazoa; Chordata; Chondrichthyes; Rhinopristiformes; Pristidae. The record is from RefSeq and is a predicted model, not a curated record.
UGGCACAUUCACAGGGGAGGAGACUUAGUUACAUCUUCAUUUUGCUAUCGCUCUGCGCCCACAGCGAGGGCAGAGAUUGCUGCAGCCGGUCUGAGUAUCUGUCCAGGAGUCACAGGAAGGAUGACCAAUGCACACCUCUGCUGCUCCUCACUCUCGAAACGUAGCCACGACACCCUCUUACCUCCCGGUUUACACAGAUAUUCCGCUCUGCUGCCGCUCCCCACAACGUUAGAACGUAUAAACAUUUAAAUUUACAAGUCGUGUGUCACCACACCACUAAUGCUGCAAUCAAUAGGCAUGAGUCCAACUUGAUUCCGGGUGGGGAAAGGCGGCGCGAGCAAGUUUACACCCCAGAAAACUUGGGCGAGGGGAGGAGACGGGACAGACACACCUUCAUGAAAAACCUGGGAAUGGUGACUUUUAAUGCGGGCCGCUGCUGGGGGACUGUAGUUGGGACGCCUUUGGCCAGCAUAGAAGACCUUGCCUCUGCGUAGGAAGUCGAGAGUGUGGUAGCAGCGCUGGGAAGACGCGGGUCCACGGGGAGGAAAUCAAUGUUGACUUGUUGACCAGGAUCUGGGACAUCGUCGUUUAGCUUCACUCUUGGCACUGCACCAGAGGAUGAAACUAUGGGUCUGGGACAGUCGUGCCUGGGUGGUUGCAGAUUAUGUUUACAAGGCGAAUGUGCCGACGGCAACAGUUCAGCAGAGACUCGCCUCCAAGUCCCUGAUAUCAUAGUAACGCCUCCGACACCCACCGUUCUCUCAACAGCCGGGGCCUUGAGGCAGGCUGAUGGGGACUCUCUGCUAGACGACACUCUCCCGAACAGAUGUUAGCUACAAAAAAAAAAUAUAUUUAUGCAAAAGCCGAAGCACCGAGAUCACAUCAAGAAUGCUUCUUGUUUGUAGAAGCGUUAAGAACAGAUUGCACAGUCACCAUCUGCCUCAUUUCACUUUGUGUUUGAAUGAUAGACUAUACACAGAUUUAUCCAUUGAUCUGGGAUUUUUUUUUAACUUUUUAAAAAUGAAUUCUAAUGACAGCAGCAAUAUUGAGCCUGGAUUUAAAACUUAACCAUGUGCAAAAAAUACAGACUACUGCCUGUCUGAUCUGUGCCUUGCAAGUCGUUCACUUCCUCUUUCUGGUGGGGCCCUGCAUACUUCUCCUUCCCACCAUCCAUCUGCCCAAGUGCAGCACCUUCAUAAGUUAUUAUCUGCAAGCUACAAGUGCAAAUUGUUGUUACUGUUAUUUAGCAGCUCCGCUUUCUGAAGUAUGGCAACGAACUAAAGAGGAAUUCUGUUUCAAGCAACACUGAAACCAAACCAUCAGUUCACACCUAACUUGUUUUGACCUAGUGCUUGCCUUGAACUUGUGAGAAGACCAAAGACGAUUUCAAUAAUGCAAUAAGAUUAUCAACAUGCAAAGAUUACUGCAGAACUGCAAAGGAAGGCCAGAUGGAGUGCCAUUUCAUUCUGAUACUGUUGAUGCCUAAAGGAAUUUUUCAUGGAGUGGCAGACAGAUGGAAGUUUUUAAUUCACAUUGACAGGCAACAGAUGGCAAAAGGUGUAAUCUACAAGCACAUGAUUCCAAAGAUGUUUUCCUUAAAAAUGUCAGCAACCAAAUGGAAAACGGAGUCUCUCAAUCCAACCUGCCUCUCCAAUUCAUCAGAAACUGAAAUCCAAUCUCAUUUGUUUUAAGGCAAAUGAGAUGCUACACUUUUGAGUUGAAGAUGUACGCAGCAACAAACGUGAAGAUCUGUUCUCACUCAGCCUGCAUUAGAGAAUGCCAUUGUUAGGGUUGCAAAUCUGGCUUUUAUAUUUCUUGUAUUUUUAUGAUUGGAAACAGUGCACUUUUUGUGUUAUUGAUAGGUUAUCAAAGCUACUGUGCUUGUGAACAUAUAAAAAAUCCAUUGAUGUUCACUCUUGCAUAGUGCCCUAGUUGCUCAUUGUAUCAACUUAAGUGGCACUGAGCCACACUGGUGGAGAAGGUCCCUGACCUCUUUGGAGAUAACAAUUGACAUCAAUGCCCUUUGACUAGGAAAAGGAUGGAGAUCACCUGGAGGUACUCAUUGAUGCCCCCUGACUUGUGUUAGAGAGUGGCUAUUGGAUGAGGAUAGGGACUGCCUCACCUAAUGCUCAAUAUGGUCAAGUUGUCCAAUGCUAGCUAUGGUGUAGGCCCCAGCAUGAAGAAUAUUUAGGUUAGGUGACAUUUAACAACAUUGCUUAUGACACCAUAGCUCUGCAUCCAUCAUCCAUGGACGUAGACGGCAGAGAGUAAAAUGAAUGCUAUCCAUCUGUACCCAACGAGGGUCUCAUCUUUAUUACGUUAAAAUGCAGUUUGUCUCUUUUAUAUUGGAGUGUAUACUUUUGGAAGCAAUAUCUAGGUAACAUCAGAAAAGGACAGAAGAUGUAACUGCUUUUGCAUCAUCAGAGAUAAUGGGAUUUCCUUUUUAAAAACACAGCAUUCAAGUGGUUUUACUAUGCACGUCAGCAACAGUUACUGCUUCACAAUCUGCAGGCGUUCUAUAACUCCAUGUAUUCCAGGUCCUAGGCUGAUGUACUCAUUGAACUGCAGUAAAAUGGUUUGGUUGAACUGGUCAACUCCAGUCUGUCAGCUCUUGAGAUGCUGAAAGAAGCCAGCAUCAAAUCAGUUCACAAACUGGUCCCUUUGCUGACUUGGUGGAUUCUUGCAGUGCCUCCUGGAAUACUGAGUGGUACAGAUCCAUGUGGUCCCAAUCCUUUCAUUUCAAACCAAGUUGAAAUGGUGCAACAGUCACAACUGGUGUCAGUUCCUUUAGCCUAGAAAAAGUAAAUUUAUCCAGAUUCUGAGGUAGAUCAUCCAUUGAUUUCUGUGGGAAAUGUGGGCGCAUAGGCUUGGACUUAAUCAUGAUGCCUUCCACCAAUAGUUUGGAUUCCCAUAUAAAGCACAGCCUAUCAUGUAAGGCACCUUUGAAUAGACAGUCCACAAUGUAACAAUAAAUAGAGCUAGCACCUUCAGGAGAGAUGGGCACCCAACAUGAUUUUUUUUUAAUUUAAAUGAAAUUCAUAAUCCUGUGCCAUAACUGCAGCUUGAAAUGUUAUCUUUUUUUAGGGCUUCACAUUUAAAAAUUAUAUUUGUAAAUGAUAUAAUUAAAUGAGUAC